This is a long non-coding RNA of Oncorhynchus tshawytscha (Chinook salmon), 825 nucleotides long. The record is from Ensembl. NCBI's taxonomy places the organism in Eukaryota, Metazoa, Chordata, Actinopteri, Salmoniformes, Salmonidae.
GCAGGACUUAGAGGUACCCAGCAUCACGGCUCCAGACCACCACCAGGGGGAGUUAGAGGUACCCAGUUUCACGGCUCCAGACCACCACCAGGGGGAGUUAGAGGUACCCAGUGUCACGGCUCCAGACCACCACCAGGGGGAGGUAGAGGUACCCAGUGUCACGGCUCCAGACCACCACCAGGGGAGUUAGAGGUACCCAGUGUCAUGGCUUCAUUGCUCCAGACCACCACCAGGGGGAGUUAGAGGUACCCAGUGUCACGGCUCCAGACCACCACCAGGGGGAGGUAGAGGUACCCAGUGUCACGGCUUCAGACCACCACCAGGGGGAGUUAGAGGUACCCAGCAUUACGGCUUCAUUGCUCCAGACCACCACCAGGGGGAGUUAGAGGUACCCAGUGUCACGGCUCCAGACCACCACCAGGGGAGUUAGAGGUACCCAGUUUCACGGCUCCAGACCACCACCAGGAGGAGGUAGAGGUACCCAGUGUCACGGUUCCAGACCACCACCAGGGGGAGUUAGAGGUACCCAGUGUAACGGCUCCAGACCACCACCAGGGGGAGUUAGAGGUACCCAGUGUCACGGCUUCAUUGCUCCAGACCACCACAAGGGGGAGUUAGAGGUACCCAGUGUAACGGCUCCAGACCACCACCAGGGGGAGUUAGAGGUACCCAGUGUCACGGCUUCAUUGCUUCAGACCACCACCAGGGGAGUUAGAGGUACCCAGUGUCAUGGCUCCAGACCACCACCAGGGGGAGUUAGAGGUACCCAGUGUAACGGCUCCAGACCACCACCAGGGGGAGGUAGAGGUACUCAGUGUCACGGCU